RNAcentral lists this ribosomal RNA (637 nucleotides) under uncultured bacterium. RNAcentral describes it as "bacterial SSU rRNA". The stretch from base 1 to 544 matches the Rfam family "Bacterial small subunit ribosomal RNA", at positions 338 to 873 of the family's 1533-position model. The record is from RNAcentral.
CCUACGGGAGGCAGCAGUGGGGAAUUUUGGACAAUGGGGGCAACCCUGAUCCAGCCACUCCGCGUGAGUGAAGAAGGCCUUCGGGUUGUAAAGCUCUUUCGCAAGGGAAGAAAACUUAUGAUCGAAUAAAUCAUGAGGUUGACGGUACCUUGAUAAGAAGCACCGGCUAACUACGUGCCAGCAGCCGCGGUAAUACGUAGGGUGCGAGCGUUAAUCGGAAUUACUGGGCGUAAAGCGUGCGCAGGCGGUUUUGUAAGUCGGAUGUGAAAUCCCCGGGCUCAACCUGGGAACUGCGUUCGAAACUGCAAGGCUAGAGUGUGUCAGAGGGGGGUAGAAUUCCACGUGUAGCAGUGAAAUGCGUAGAGAUGUGGAGGAAUACCAAUGGCGAAGGCAGCCCCCUGGGAUAGCACUGACGCUCAUGCACGAAAGCGUGGGGAGCAAACAGGAUUAGAUACCCUGGUAGUCCACGCCCUAAACGAUGUCAACUAGUUGUUGGUAGAGUAAAAUCUAUAAGUAACGUAGCUAACGCGUGAAGUUGACCGCCUGGGGGAGGUACGGUCGCGAAGUAAGUUAAACGUUAAAGUUAAAGUUAGUUACGGUUCGUGNGACGNGCGACGGACGACGACGAGGGAGGAGG